GCGGAGAUGGCGAGCUCGGAGCUCAAAGUCGGCCUUUCGGUAAGCCGGGUGCUUUGCAGACGCGCGCAAGGUGUUCGACGGAAUGACCGCUGGUCCUCGGGUGCUGCUGGGAGGAGGGGCGGUCUCAGGAGGUUAACGCCUUGGUGAUUGCCAUGUGGGGGCAGGGUUUCCGCCUGGACAAUGGGUUGAAAGCCAAAUGUUUCCGGGAUUUGCAAGGUAGUAGAGACAGAGGUGUGGGCAUUCCAGCUUUCUCAAUCUCAAGUGUUAUAAGCCUAAGCAUAUAUGUCCACACUCCUAUGAUUCAGAUUGUACUGCAAAGAGGGUCAGCUUUCUCAACCUGAGUUGUGUGGUAGGGAAGGACAUUGCGUGGGCAUGUGCAGUAAGCUCCUGUUUGGUUGUGGGCGAAGCUGCCCUAGGCCAUAGAUUUCGGUUGCCUGGUGACUGGGAUUCAUGCCUGUUGGGUGAGCUGCCUGACAGACCACCAAUGAAACACACCCUAAGUAUACUAGACACAACGGACAGAGUAGAGGAUGCAGCUCUGGUCGUACCUUAGAAUUGACGAAUAAGACCAAGUUGGAUGGUUUUCUUCUCAAUUUUUACACACGUGGUUUGUAAGAAUGCACAGAUUCAAGUAAUUGCAGGGUGAUCCUGAUGGCCACUAGUCAAGUCUGCACUUUGAUAUGGUGGCAUACUGGCAUACACCAUCCCUAUUGUUCUAUAUACAGAGAAUAGAAGCAAAUGAAAGAAAGCCAAAACCUUUCGAGAAUUCUUAAACUGAUAUAUUGGCAAGCAAGCAAAUCUGUAUCCCCGUGAUUGCAGGUAAUCUCAACUUGUACCAUUGUAUCUUGCGCUUAUUCCUAGCAGUGUAGUUUUUUCAGAGGCAACUCAGGAGCGUAGGCUUUAACUCUAGAAUCUUAAGGCUGAUGGAUACAUGGUUAAAACAUUUCAAUUGUCAUAUGGACAAACUUCAACCCGUCUUAAUGUUUGAAACAUUAUGCCUUAAUUUGUUCUUAAAAAACACUGCCUUAAUUCUUCACCAUAAAAUGUUCUAAGUAGAGGUCAUGGAAUUUAUUGCUGCUUCCGUUUUUCAUUCUUUAUGGAACCGUAGUUGCUAGAUUUUCUACUCCUGAUUAUAUUUUUUCACAUUGUGUUUGUGUAUGAUGUUCCCUUUUAUAUAGCUCCCAUAUUUUCUUGUUAUCAGUCAAGUACAGGAAAUAUCCUUUCAUAUUCUUUUUCAUGUUUGCAAAUUGCGCACAAAGUUCACUUAACCUGGUCAUUCUGCAGAUCUGAAACCCUACAAACUAUAAUUUUAACUCCUCCCGGCUCCUCUUCCUUCAGAGCCUACAUCUUUUUCUCUGUUCUUCAGUGGUUAUUGGAGGUGUUCAGGAUGUAGUAACUAUGACUCAUGCUAGAAGUAAAUUUGAGCCCAAAUUCAUUCACAGGUAAAUUUGUCUGUAAUUUUCUUAUGCUUUAUUGAGAACCAUUGUUCUUUGCUAUGCAUAUUUUUGGGAAAUUACUUAUAGUUGUGCAGAUUAUAUUCAGAAAUAUUCAGAACAGGAUAACAGGGAACCACAGUUUCUUUUUUAUUCUGCAACUGCAAUAAAAUAUUACUGGUAUUGAAGGACAUUUUGGACCAAUUAAUGCAAUGGCAUUUGAUCCUUAUAGAUAUUUUAGACCAAUUUAUAUCAUCUGCUUCUUUAUUCAGUAAUUUAUUUAAAUUUUGUAUAUACUUCAAAAUCUGGAUUCUUUAUUUAGUUUUUGAUAUACAAUCAUAACUGAAUAUACUCCCAGGUAUCAUUCUCUUACAGGUGUACAUCAUGAUUAAAUGUGCUCAUCAUCAUAAUAUGGCCUACACCAAGGUAGUGACAUGCUCUCAGAGCUAUGCUAAAGCAACAAUAAAUGUUCACAUAGAAUGGCCAGAUGGAUACAUUAUCUGGCAUGUUCGUUGACAAAUUGAAAUUGCUGCAACUUAUUUCUGAGCAGAGGAGAGGACCAAGUCCUCGUUUACCCCCAAGGCAGUGCUCUUCUCCAUUUCAUGACAGCUGAGGCGAAUUUCAUCCAUAGCUUCUGGAAGUCUGAAUUAUUAUUGGAAGCAUAACUGCUUGUUGCACAUUUCUGCAAGGAUUGUUCCCACGUCCUCUUCAACGCCGUUGUUCACAAGUUUAAUCGUAUGCCCAAGGUCUGCAAUCUGGCUCCUCAUAGUGCCUAGUGUUGCCUUAACGCUGCGACUGUUGAUGUACCAGGGGUCGUAGCGGAGGGUCACUUGCUCCAGGCCCAGCAGGUUGGAGAUACCUGAUGGCUUGCUCUCCUUACCGACAGGGCCAGUGGAAAGUAUGAGAUCAAGGUCUGUUAGCCUUGGCAUGGCUCCUAUGCUGAAAUCCAGCCAUGGCACCCGGCAAUGGACAGAGAGCCUCUGCAGCUGAUGAAACCCCUCAUGUCCAAUAGAUAUGACUUCCUCUGGAAGGAAAUCCAAGUAUAGCACAAGUCUCUCCAAACUUUCCAAACUCCCCAAUAGAUUUAUAUCAUGAGGAGCUAACUUGCAGACUAUGAUAUCCAAGAAAACAAGGUGGUUCAGCCCUUCGAUCCAUUUGGGUACAGUUAGAAACCUUGCGGUUAUCCUGAGAUGCUGCAGGCUCUGAGGGGCAUCAGGCAGUGAAUCCAGAAACUCCAUGGAGCAACCCACUUCACAGUGAAUCGUCAGGGACUUGAGGCAGACUGAUCUUUGGAUAGCUAAUCGUAAAGCUCUUUGGUAUUCCUCAUCGUAGCACUGGCGGAAAGACCAGGUGACUGCAAGCACCUCUAGGAAUCGAAGCUUAGCAAGUUCUUGGAUAAAGCUCGUGGAGCAUUUGUUUAAAUCAACAGUUUCUAGUGUCUCUAAGAACCUCCAAUCCACAAUAUCCUCUGCCACGGCUGUCACUGUUUCAUCCGGUGUGUCACCAUUAAUGAGGAGAUGCCUCAAGCCGGGCAGCCGAGAAGUCUCAUAUCUGGACAGGCACCUUACUUGUGUGCUUCUUAGGUCUAAGGCCCGUAGCUCUGGCAGCUCCAACACUUCAAAUGGGAGUUCGCUUAUCUGUGUGUGACUUAUAUCCAAAGUCUCAAGGCACUCCAGCUUAGCGAUCUGUUGUGGCAGCUUGCUGACCCGGGUGUUUCUGACACUCAGAUACUUGAGCAGAAAGAAUUUGCUGCUGCAUAUCUCCACCAGAUCAUCAUUGUCCAACUUCUCCCAGCCUUCAAGAUCCAAGACCACCAGAUGAACAAACUUGUUAAAAGGGAUCCGGUUUGCCACACCGGAGACUUUCAGUGAACGGGUGUGAGAAAAGUCCAUUCUUUCUAGCAUCAGUGGAAGCUCUGGAUCGGGAUGGUGGAGGGACAGCCGUUGAAGUUUCCAUGCCUCGUUGUCACCUUCAGCUGCCGCCAGGGCCUUAAAGUUGAUAGUUUGGCUCAUCAUGGCCAAGUUCUUGUGUGCCGAUACGGAGGCAAGGAACAGGUGCAUAAAAUGAUCUACCUGGUAGCAGUCUACCACCUCAGAAGCAUAUCCGCGGUCCAUUGGCCUAAUGAUGCCCCUAUCGAGAAGCUUGCUAAAGUGCUCUUCUGCCAUUUCAUCAGGUGCUGUCCACAUGUCAGGUGCAAUCAGCCCUUCGGCUCCCCAUUUCCUGAUGAGGCGGUGCCUGUCAAUUAUGUAGCCCCUAGGUAACGUGCUCAUGUAUAGGGAAAGAAGCUUGAGCUCGUUAGGAAGAUCGUCAAAGCUCGGAGACAGUGCCUCUUCUGCCAGUAUGAGUUCAGGGAUUUGUUCCAGCCAACAUGUUGCCGUCUUGUCCAACCCAUCUGCUUGAUUUUGUCUCGUGGAGGUGGAGAUGAAGCCAGCCACCACAAUGAUGAACAACGGUAUGCCAGCACACCUCCUUAGGAUCUCAUCUGAAGCCUGCCUGAAAUGGUCGGAUGGGCAGCUGCCCCCAGAGCCAAAGGCUACCCUAGAGAACAGCCGUUCAGAAUCUAGUUCGCCCAGAGGCUUCACCUCAUGCAGAAGCCCGUCUCUGCCCCAUCUUUUUCGCGAGUUGGGAUGCCCAUCCUUGUCAGAAGAACACGAGCGAGCUAUGCUUCUAACACGGGUCGUUAUCAGUAUCCGGCUGCCACAUUUGUUAUGUGGGAAAGCGUCCUGGAUGAUCUCCCAAUCCGUCUCUCUCCACAGGUCGUCAAUUAAAAUGAGAUACCUGUGCCGGCAAGCAUUGCAAAUGAUCAAUAAUAUACAUUGCUCCACACUGGAGGCUUAUCUUGUGCAGAUGAAAGGAACAGCGUCAGGAUGAAGCAUUGAUUGCAUACCUCUUAUCUUCGAGGAAUUUCUUCAGAUCGUACGCCAGCUCGUGCUCGUCACCCUCCAACGCGGCUAUGGUCUCUGAGCAUUUGGGCGUCUCUGGUGCUGCUGAAUCGAUGAUUUGUGACAUGAUGUGCUUGAGAAGCUUGCCGGUGUCAGGCGGCUGCCGAGACAUCCUUGCCACAGCAUGGCACUGAAAGUGUUGCUCCCCUGUUCGGCGGUACAGCUCCAUGGCCAGCGUCGUCUUGCCCACACCGGCAGGCCCAACGAUUGAGAUGACUCUCAGGGUGCUGUUCUCGUCUUGCUCGCCAUUGGCGGCUGAGACCAGCCAUCUGAGCAACUUCUUGCUCGGGCCGUCGAUGCCAAUAAGAUGGGGGUUUCCUUUGCAGCCAGGCUCAGGCUCAGGCUGCAGCAGCAGCUCAGGGUGGUUGUCAUUAUGCUUGCUUGGCAGAACAGUCAUCCUCAUAUCUGAGCCACCAACUGUAUGAGUAUGACCACCAGCAAAACCGUCAGCCAGCAGGAGCUGUUCUAUCCAGGCGAGGUUCAGCUCCGGAAGCUCUGCAGCCCGACGGGGAGCGCGGCCAGCGUUGAGGAUGCCCUGUAUCCGGUCGGCGAGGUCUCUCAGGUGCGCCAGCUGGUCCUUGAUGGGGUCAAUAUGAUGGUCCUGUUCCUGCCCUAGCACUGCCGACACGGCAAGCUGGCGCAGCGCAGCGACGAUGGUGCGCAGCUCCUUCUCCAAGAAGGCGAGGGCACGCUGGUCGCCAUCCUCAACUGUGAUGUGCCCAGGACGGACCUUCGAACGAGAUACCAACUCAGAGAUCCUUCCAGGCAAGCAGGCACAAAGCCAGCGGUAGGGCUAGGGGGGCUCCAGCCCCCCCUACCGCUGCUGGCCUAGUGAAAUUUCUAGUGUUUUUCUUUUAAUUUUAGACAUAAAUUUAUAAAGUAGGGUGGGCUGAGAACUUUUUUUUUUUAGAUAUAUUUUGUGAAUUUCAUUAUUGGUCUAUAUUUUUAAUCUAAGACUACUUUAAACUAAUAUAUUUUUUUAUUACGAGGGAUAAUAGUAGAGCUAGGUCGAUGUAGAAUUUUUGUUCAGCUCCCCCUAAAUUUUUUUCUGGCUUCGUCCCUGCAGGCAAGGGAUCCAUCAGCUCCAGUACCUUCAUCAUUUCCUCCUUCACCACCACCGCUGCCUUCCUUGCCGCUGCAGUCUCCCUCUUUUGCUGGAGCUCGCGUGCUUUCGCUCGCACCCGAGCUCGCACAAGCGCUAUCUCUCUAUCAUUUUUCUCAUCUCCCUCUGCAAGUAGUCUCCGAAUCUCUUUCUCGUCAUCAUCGUGUCUUGGAAGAGAAAUAUGAGACAAGUUUGCCGACAUCUCUGUGUCUCCCUCUUUCUCAUCCAGUGUCUUCAUCUAUUCUUCCCCCAGCAGUACAAGUUUGGGACAAUCUUGGCGAGGAUGAUGUUCUGGAGGCUGGAGAGGUAGAGCUAUAAUCUCUUGUUUAAAGUACAGUUCGACUCAGGACCUACACAUCAGGUAUCCAUCCACCCACCUACUAGUCACGUCACAUGGGUUGUUUAUAUAUCCCCUGUCUAACUUGCCGUUCUAACUUGCCUUAUUAACUAAAAUUUAUCUAAUUUUUACUAAUUUAUUUAUAGAAAAAAAGUGGAAUGUGUAAGAUGGGUCUUUAAACUUUUUCCACACUCUUAUCCAGUGUUCUAAAUCUCCGGAUAUAAGGUUAAGCGGCAACCUGGUCGAUCUGCCAUAGCCGCAUUAUCAUCGCUAUUUAUCUACUAAUAAUCACUGGUCAAUCCUCAUCCACACGUUCCUAAUAAAGCUUCACUCUUUAUUUACUAGAUGAUAACUUGUGUGUUGCUGCAGAAAUUCUAUAGCAUUGUUUAUAAGAGAAUUUAUAGAGUGGGAAAUAAUAAAAUUAUAAAAAGUAUUCUAUGUCUAAACUGAUGACUCCCCAUUAUAUUAGACUUCUCGUUUGACCAAUCACACAUGUACUUUCGCUCUUUAUUAUGAGGCAUGGUUGUAUGGAAUAUUCCUGUGUUAGACAUGUUAACAUGAAAUUGUAUAUACUCCUACUCAGAUAACAUUUUGUGUAUCGGCGAGUCUGCAUCGGUAAAGGAAGCAGGCAGCUUCACCAAAAAAAUAUCUUUCCAUCCUUGUUCUUGUUGGAUUUGUCUCUUAUGGUGGGCCUUUUCCGAAUUGCAUCAUGUCUAGUGCCCCUAACAGCCUUCUCCCUCAGAUUCCGAUCGCCAAAUGAGUGAUGCGGCUUGGUGCCAUCUUUCAGCAUUUUGUAUUUUUCUGCUCUGGCUCAGGAACAAUGAUUGAUGCAGCUUGGUGCUAUCUAUGACGCAACUGGAUAACUGAUGUCACAGCUUGUAUAACUUAGGAAAAAAAUCCAUAUUAUUCCCUCCAAGUUUGGCCUAUGUUUAAAUAAUCCUCUAAACUAACAUUUGGUUUAAUUUAUUUCCUCCAACUAUUUCAGUUUGUCCAACCAACACGUUAAAGAGAUUGUUAUUUUUUAUUUCUCUAUGUACAAAUUAUAUUUUAGUUUCAAAUUUUAUGAGGUGAUAAGAUAUAUUGUAUUUUGUUUUAGAAUAUGCACUAUGGAUUUUUCAUCAUUAUGUUUUAUAUGAUAUUGUAUCUCUAGUGUUGAUUUCCUGUAAGUAAAAUGCAUUGAUAGUUCAUUAAUUUGUGAGGGUGUGUCGAUUUGGUUCAUCAGCUUUGAAAGUGCAUUUUUUAAGUCCAAAACCUUAAUCAACGGUGCAUAAAGAGUCGAUACCCUCCUUCGUUUGUUCUACGUUUAUAUUUGUAGAAAAUCCUUGUAUUUUAUUUUCUUUCACAAGCUUAAUUACUCUUCCUUGUGCUAGGCGCUGAGGCGGAGCCUGCACCCAUGCCGUCGGCCAACGACUCCUUCCAGGCUGCAUCCAUCGCUGCCAUCCUCGCCAUGUUCGGGUGGCACGCAGCGGCUGUCAUCUACGAGGACUCGUCCUACUGGUAGUGGUCGGGCAUCUUGUCGUUGGAGCCUAUUCUGAUAGUUCCUAUUCUGCCGCCACCAACGCCAACCAACAGAUGGAAGAGGAAGCAGAACGCUGCAUCCUUGGCACUGUUAGUAUAAAAAGAAUCUAUUUAGGCCUUGUUUAGUUCCCAAAAAAUUUUACAAAAUUUUUCAGAUUCUCCGUCACAUUAAAUAUUUAGACGCAUGCAUAGAGUAUUAAAUAUAGACGAAAAAUAAAAACUAAUUGUACAGUUGGGUCGGAAUUGACAAGACGAAUCUUUUGAGCCUAGUUAAUUCAUGAUUGGACAAUAUUUGUCAAAUACAAACGAAAGUGCUACUAUUCCUAUUUUGCAAAAUUUUUUGAAACUAAACAAGCCUAAGAAACAUGAUUUUAUAUUUUAUAUAAUCUAUUAGUAGUAAGGCCCUGUUUAGUUUCUCUUG
Molecule: long non-coding RNA, 7753 nt
Filed under: Sorghum bicolor (sorghum)
Lineage: Eukaryota; Viridiplantae; Streptophyta; Magnoliopsida; Poales; Poaceae
Description: long non-coding RNA (SBIC_LNC009592)
Source: RNAcentral